Molecule: long non-coding RNA, 364 nt
Organism: Triticum aestivum (bread wheat)
Lineage: Eukaryota; Viridiplantae; Streptophyta; Magnoliopsida; Poales; Poaceae
Exons: 3
Source: RefSeq, a predicted model, not a curated record
CUUUCCCCCGCCCUUCCUCGACUGGACGCCCCUGUUGGGUGAAUUGAAUCUCAUCGAGGAGCUCAGGCUGUCGUCGUCCUUGUCGAGCACGGGAGCGAGCUAGCCGUGUCACCGGAGUUUGUUGGAGCAGCCAUCGUUUUUGUCGUCACCGCGUCGCCUACAGAGGACGAACCCGUCACCGUUUUCACCACCCUCACCACCAUCGUGCCACGCUGCAGCCGCCCACUCACUCACCUUCGCCGAAGGAUCGCUGGAGAGCCGCCGUCACCGACGCCUGACCCGCCACCGCCGUCCUCUAUUUUCGAUUGUCCGGAGUGCGAUGCGAGCUAUUGUCAGGAGUGUGACUUUCUGAACCAGAACCAAG